This 1034-nucleotide ribosomal RNA is filed under the name Triticum aestivum (bread wheat). RNAcentral describes it as "partial small subunit ribosomal RNA". The record is from RNAcentral. Lineage: Eukaryota; Viridiplantae; Streptophyta; Magnoliopsida; Poales; Poaceae.
GCAAAGGGAAAAACAUGCUCAUCAAACACAACAUCCCGAGAGAUGUAGACACGAUUAGUGGGCACAUGAAGACAUUUGUAUCCUUUAUGAAGAGAGCUAUAACCAAGAAAAACACACUUCUUGGAACGAAACUCGAGCUUACGCUUGUUAUAUGGACGGAGAUGGGGCCAGCAAGCACACCCAAACACCUUGAGAAAGGUGUAGUCCGGUUGUUCAUUAAGGAGAACUUCAAUGGGAGUCUUCAUAUUCAAAACACGAGUGGGAGUACGAUUGAUGAGAAAACAUGCAGUGGUGAAAGCAUCACUCCAAAAACGAAACGGAACAGAUGCAUGGGCCAAAAGAGUCAGACCAGCUUCAACAAUGUGACGAUGCUUACGUUCUACUGAACCAUUCUGCUGAUGUGUAUGUGGACAUGCUAAACGGUGAGUGAUCCCAAGCGACUGAAAAAAGGAGUUGAGGUUGCGAUACUCGCCACCCCAGUCCGACUGAACAUGAACAAUUUUGUGCUUGAGAAGGCGUUCAACAUGUUUUUGGAACUGAACAAAAAUGUCAAACACAUCAGAUUUACGUUUGAUAAGAUAAAGCUAGGUAAAGCGGCUGUAAGCAUCAACAAAACUGAUAUAGUAAUUAUGACCACUAACAGAAGUCUGAGCAGGACCCCAUACAUCUGAAAACACAAGUUCUAAAGGAUGUUUCACCUCACGACUGGACUCCGAAAAAGGAAGUUGAUGACUCUUCCCCUGCUGACAAGCAUCACACACUGCUACAUCUUUAUUACUAGACACACUAGGAAGCUCAUGACGACGCAAAACAUGCCGGACAAUAGGUGUGGCCGGGUGACCAAGACGAGCAUGCCACUGUGACGGAGAUACCCGAACUCCACUGAAGACGCGAGCGACGCCAGGAUGCUCCAGACGAUAGAGACCUUGGCAGAGCCGCCCACUAAGAAGAAUGUCCCUCGUGCCCCGAUCCUUAAUAAAAAGAUCAAAAGGAUGAAAUUCACAAAGCACAUUAUUAUCACGAGUGAGUUUAGG